ACGCAAGUGUGAAACUUGAAGGAAUUGACGGAAGGGCACCACAAGAACGCGUGGAGCAUGUGGCUUAAUUUGACUCAACGCGGGAAAUCUUACCGGGUCCGGACACACUGAGGAUUGACAGGCAAUAUUAAAAUAUUUUUAAUUUAUUAUUUAUAUUUUAUGUUAAAUAUGCUAGUCCUUUCAUGAUUAUGUGAUAGGUGGUGCAUGGCCGUUCUUAGUUCGUGGAGUGAUCUGUCUGCUUAAUUGCGUUUCACUAAGGGCUUAUAAAUUUACGUGCGUUGUGGGUACUUUGACCCCUAUGUUGAAAUAUUACAUAGUGCGUGUCUUAGUUUGCAAGACUCGCACAAUUAAGUCCUGAAAGCAACGAAACGUGACCG
Molecule: ribosomal RNA, 377 nt
Filed under: Foraminifera environmental sample
Lineage: Eukaryota; Foraminifera
Description: SSU rRNA
Rfam family: Eukaryotic small subunit ribosomal RNA
Source: RNAcentral